This 858-nucleotide ribosomal RNA is filed under the name uncultured euryarchaeote. Its description in RNAcentral is "bacterial SSU rRNA". It matches the Rfam family "Archaeal small subunit ribosomal RNA", at positions 1 to 879 of the family's 1478-position model. The record is from RNAcentral. Lineage: Archaea; Methanobacteriati; Methanobacteriota.
UUCCGGUUGAUCCCGCCGGAGGCGACCGCUUUGGGAGUUCGAUUAAGCCAUGCGAGUCGUGAGUCUUAGGGACUCGGCAUACUGCUCAGUAAUACGUGGAUAACCUGCCCUAUCGUCUGGAAUAACCUCGGGAAACUGAGAAUAAGGCCGGAUAGUUCACAAUGCCUGGAACGGUUUGUGAAUCAAGGUAGGAUGGGUCUGCGGCGUAUCAGGUUGUAGGGGGUGUAAAGGACCCCCUAGCCUUCGACGCGUACGGGUGUUGGGAGACAUAGCCCGGAGAUGGAUUCUGAGACACGAAUCCAGACCCUACGGGGUGCAGCAGGCGCGAAAACUUCACACUGCAGGAAACUGUGAUGAGGGAGCUCCUAGUGCAUACACUAUGUGUAUGUAGAUCCUACUCUUAACAAGUAGAGGGAAAGGGCUGGGAAAGACCGGUGCCAGCCGCCGCGGUAAUACCGGCAGCUCAAGUGGUCGUCGCUUUUAUUGGGCCUAAAACGUCCGUAGCCUGUUUGGUAAAUCUGUGGGUAAAUCAAUCCGCUCAACGGAUUGAAUUCUGCAGAGACUGCCAGACUAGGGACCGGGAGAGGUGUGGGGUACUCGAGGGGUAGGGGUAAAAUCCUGUCAUCCUUCGAGGACCACCAGUUGCGAAGGCGCCACACUGGAACGGAUCCGACGGUCAGGGACGAAGCCUAGGGGCACGAACCGGAUUAGAUACCCGGGUAGUCCUAGGUGUAAACGCUGUGAACUUGGUGUCGGGGGUCCGCAAGGGGUCCCCGGUGCCGGAGUGAAGAUGUUAAGUUCACUGCCUGGGGAGUACGGUCGCAAGGCUGAAACUUAAAGGAAUUGGCGGGGCAGCAC